GUGGGAUGUAAUCGCCUUAUUAUUAACUCAGAUAACCUGGAGGUAAUUUAUACUAUGCAGGAUGGAGGACAAUCAGCGGCAGCAAUCUUUGACGAUUGUUUUCAUUAUGCUUGUGAUUUUAGUAUUACUAGAUUCGAACAUUGUAAUAGAGAAGCAAAUAAAGUAGCUCAUGAGCUUGCUAAAUUAGCUAGAUUUUCUUUGACUUCUGUUUGGUUUGAGGAAGCUGUAGAUGAGAUUGCAGUGAUCCUCAUGACCUCAUGAACGAUGUACUUCUAA
This 276-nucleotide ribosomal RNA is filed under the name Triticum aestivum (bread wheat). Its description in RNAcentral is "partial small subunit ribosomal RNA". The record is from RNAcentral. Lineage: Eukaryota; Viridiplantae; Streptophyta; Magnoliopsida; Poales; Poaceae.